GCAGGUGCGUCUGAUGAUGAAAGCCCACUCCUUCGUCAGAGAGAACGUCCCACGAGUCCUGAGCUGGGCUAAAGAAAAACACAGCCCCGGCCCUGUGGUGCCUCAGGUCUCUCAGUAUCUCUACUUCCUGUUUGCACCCACUCUCAUCUACAGAGACAAAUACCCCAGGAACCCGGUGAUCAGGUGGAGCUACGUGGCUUCAAAGUUCCUUCAGGU
This is a long non-coding RNA of Notothenia coriiceps (black rockcod), 216 nucleotides long. RefSeq lists it as uncharacterized. Lineage: Eukaryota; Metazoa; Chordata; Actinopteri; Perciformes; Nototheniidae. The transcript has 3 exons. The record is from RefSeq and is a predicted model, not a curated record.